This 408-nucleotide ribosomal RNA is filed under the name uncultured bacterium. RNAcentral describes it as "bacterial SSU rRNA". It matches the Rfam family "Bacterial small subunit ribosomal RNA", at positions 354 to 776 of the family's 1533-position model. The record is from RNAcentral.
GUUAGGAAUUUUGCGCAAUGGGGGAAACCCUGACGCAGCAACGCCGCGUGGGUGAGGAAGGCUUUCGGGUUGUAAAGCCCUUUCAGCAGGGAAGAAAAAAAUGACGGUACCUGCAGAAGAAGCACCGGCUAACUCCGUGCCAGCAGCCGCGGUAAUACGGAGGGUGCAAGCGUUAUUCGGAAUUAUUGGGCGUAAAGCGCACGUAGGCGGUUUGGUAAGUCCGAUGUGAAAGCCCACGACUUAAUCGUGGAAGUGCAUUGGAUACUGCCAGACUUGAGUACAGGAGAGGAGAACGGAAUUCCUGGUGGAGAGGUGAAAUUCGUAGAUAUCAGGAGGAACAACGGUGGCGAAGGCGGUUCUCUGGACUGUAACUGACGCUGAGGUGCGAAAGUGUGGGGAGCAAACAGG